AUAGCGUAUAUUAAAGUUGUUGCAGUUAAAAAGCUCGUAGUUGAACUUCGGAUCUGGUUGGGUGGUCCGCCUGACGGCGUGUUUACUGCUUGACCGGGUCUUGCCUCUUGGUGAACCGUUGUGUUCUUUAUUGAAUGCUUCGGGGAACCAGGACUUUUACCUUGAGAAAAUUAGAGUGUUCAAAGCAGGCCUAUGCCUGAAUACAUUAGCAUGGAAUAAUAAAAUAGGACGUGUGGUUCUAUUUUGUUGGUCUUUUAGAGCUGCCGUAAUGAUUAAUAGGGAUAGUUGGGGGCAUUCAUAUUCAGUCGCUAGAGGUGAAAUUCUUGGAUUGACUGAAGAUGAACUACUG
Molecule: ribosomal RNA, 349 nt
Filed under: uncultured eukaryote
Lineage: Eukaryota
Description: SSU rRNA
Rfam family: Eukaryotic small subunit ribosomal RNA
Source: RNAcentral